RNAcentral lists this ribosomal RNA (500 nucleotides) under uncultured bacterium. Its description in RNAcentral is "partial 16S ribosomal RNA". It matches the Rfam family "Bacterial small subunit ribosomal RNA", at positions 31 to 523 of the family's 1533-position model. The record is from RNAcentral.
AUAGAACGCUAGCGGGAUGCCUUACACAUGCAAGUCGAACGGCAGCGCGGACUUCGGUCUGGCGGCGAGUGGCGAACGGGUGAGUAAUGUAUCGGAACGUGCCCAGUAGCGGGGGAUAACUACUCGAAAGAGUAGCUAAUACCGCAUACGCCCUACGGGGGAAAGGGGGGGAUCGCAAGACCUCUCCCUAUUGGAGCGGCCGAUGUCGGAUUAGGUAGUUGGUGAGGUAAAGGCUCACCAAGGCGACGAUCCGUAGCUGGUGUGAGAGGACGACCCGCCACACUGGGACUGGGACACGGCCGAGACUCCUACGGGAGGCAGCAGUGGGGAAUUUUGGACAAUGGGGGAAACCCAGAUCCAGCAAUGCCGCGUGUGUGAAGAAGGCCUUCGGGUUGUAAAGCACUUUCAGUUGGGAGGAAGGGGUGAGCAUUAAUACUGUUCAUCAUUGACGUUACCGACAGAAGAAGCACCGGCUAACUCUGUGCCAGCCGCCGCAGUAA